AAAGCUUAAAUUUUAUUAAGAGACGAGAAGACCCUAUAGAGUUUUAUAAUUAAUAAUUUAUUAAUUUUUAAGUAUUAUUUUAUUAAUAUUUUAUUAAUUAUUUUGUUGGGGCGAUAAAAAAAUAUAAUUAACUUUUUUUAAUAAAUUAAUACAUUAAUUUAUGACUUUGUGAUCCAUUAUUUAUGAUUAGAAGAUUAAGUUACCUUAGGUAUAACAGCGUUAUUUUUUUUUAGAGUUCUUAUCGAAAAAAAAGAUUGCGACCUCGAUGUUGGAUUAAAAUUAAUAUUUGGUGUAGAAGCUAAAUUAUUAGGUCUGUUCGACCUUUAAAAUUUUACAUGAUCUGAGUUUAAACCGGCGUAAGCCAGGUUGGUUUCUCUCUUUAAUUAAUUAAAAUAUUUUAGUACGAAAGGACCAAAUAUUUAUAAUAUUUAUUAAUUUUUGAAUUAUAUUAG
Molecule: ribosomal RNA, 452 nt
Filed under: Anomalophylla sp. BMNH 678368
Lineage: Eukaryota; Metazoa; Arthropoda; Insecta; Coleoptera; Scarabaeidae
Description: partial 16S large subunit ribosomal RNA
Rfam family: Bacterial large subunit ribosomal RNA (bases 211-368)
Source: RNAcentral